CAUAGGUUAAUGAGGCGAACCGGGGGAACUGAAACAUCUAAGUACCCCGAGGAAAAGAAAUCAACCGAGAUUCCCCCAGUAGCGGCGAGCGAACGGGGAGCAGCCCAGAGCCUGAAUCAGUAUGUGUGUUAGUGGAAGCGUCUGGAAAGGCGCGCGAUACAGGGUGACAGCCCCGUACACAAAAAUGCACAUGCUGUGAGCUCGAUGAGUAGGGCGGGACACGUGGUAUCCUGUCUGAAUAUGGGGGGACCAUCCUCCAAGGCUAAAUACUCCUGACUGACCGAUAGUGAACCAGUACCGUGAGGGAAAGGCGAAAAGAACCCCGGCGAGGGGAGUGAAAAAGAACCUGAAACCGUGUACGUACAAGCAGUGGGAGCACGCUUAGGCGUGUGACUGCGUACCUUUUGUAUAAUGGGUCAGCGACUUAUAUUCUGUAGCAAGGUUAACCGAAUAGGGGAGCCGAAGGGAAACCGAGUCUUAACUGGGCGUUAAGUUGCAGGGUAUAGACCCGAAACCCGGUGAUCUAGCCAUGGGCAGGUUGAAGGUUGGGUAACACUAACUGGAGGACCGAACCGACUAAUGUUGAAAAAUUAGCGGAUGACUUGUGGCUGGGGGUGAAAGGCCAAUCAAACCGGGAGAUAGCUGGUUCUCCCCGAAAGCUAUUUAGGUAGCGCCUCGUGAAUUCAUCUCCGGGGGUAGAGCACUGUUUCGGCAAGGGGGUCAUCCCGACUUACCAACCCGAUGCAAACUGCGAAUACCGGAGAAUGUUAUCACGGGAGACACACGGCGGGUGCUAACGUCCGUCGUGAAGAGGGAAACAACCCAGACCGCCAGCUAAGGUCCCAAAGUCAUGGUUAAGUGGGAAACGAUGUGGGAAGGCCCAGACAGCCAGGAUGUUGGCUUAGAAGCAGCCAUCAUUUAAAGAAAGCGUAAUAGCUCACUGGUCGAGUCGGCCUGCGCGGAAGAUGUAACGGGGCUAAACCAUGCACCGAAGCUGCGGCAGCGACGCUGAUGCGUUGUUGGGUAGGGGAGCGUUCUGUAAGCCUGCGAAGGUGUGCUGUGAGGCAUGCUGGAGGUAUCAGAAGUGCGAAUGCUGACAUAAGUAACGAUAAAGCGGGUGAAAAGCCCGCUCGCCGGAAGACCAAGGGUUCCUGUCCAACGUUAAUCGGGGCAGGGUGAGUCGACCCCUAAGGCGAGGCCGAAAGGCGUAGUCGAUGGGAAACAGGUUAAUAUUCCUGUACUUGGUGUUACUGCGAAGGGGGGACGGAGAAGGCUAUGUUGGCCGGGCGACGGUUGUCCCGGUUUAAGCGUGUAGGCUGGUUUUCCAGGCAAAUCCGGAAAAUCAAGGCUGAGGCGUGAUGACGAGGCACUGCGGUGCUGAAGCAACAAAUGCCCUGCUUCCAGGAAAAGCCUCUAAGCAUCAGGUAACAUCAAAUCGUACCCCAAACCGACACAGGUGGUCAGGUAGAGAAUACCAAGGCGCUUGAGAGAACUCGGGUGAAGGAACUAGGCAAAAUGGUGCCGUAACUUCGGGAGAAGGCACGCUGAUAUGUAGGUGAAGUCCCUCGCGGAUGGAGCUGAAAUCAGUCGAAGAUACCAGCUGGCUGCAACUGUUUAUUAAAAACACAGCACUGUGCAAACACGAAAGUGGACGUAUACGGUGUGACGCCUGCCCGGUGCCGGAAGGUUAAUUGAUGGGGUUAGCGCAAGCGAAGCUCUUGAUCGAAGCCCCGGUAAACGGCGGCCGUAACUAUAACGGUCCUAAGGUAGCGAAAUUCCUUGUCGGGUAAGUUCCGACCUGCACGAAUGGCGUAAUGAUGGC
RNAcentral lists this ribosomal RNA (1822 nucleotides) under Escherichia coli. RNAcentral describes it as "partial 23S ribosomal RNA". It matches the Rfam family "Bacterial large subunit ribosomal RNA", at positions 165 to 2011 of the family's 2925-position model. The record is from RNAcentral. Lineage: Bacteria; Pseudomonadati; Pseudomonadota; Gammaproteobacteria; Enterobacterales; Enterobacteriaceae.